RNAcentral lists this non-coding RNA (371 nucleotides) under Enterococcus sp. RNAcentral describes it as "T-box sequence". The stretch from base 1 to 236 matches the Rfam family "T-box leader". Rfam says of the family: Uncharged tRNA acts as the effector for transcription antitermination of genes in the T-box leader family. T-boxes are found upstream of many aminoacyl-tRNA synthetase genes and some amino acid biosynthetic genes usually in Gram-positive bacteria. Lineage: Bacteria; Bacillati; Bacillota; Bacilli; Lactobacillales; Enterococcaceae. The record is from RNAcentral.
AAAUAGACAUCGAAAAGAAGAGUAGCAAGACUUGUUGUUCAAAGAGAAUCUCUGGUUGGUGCAAAGAGAUAGCACAGGGUUGUGAAACACAUCUUGGAGUCGUUUUUCCGAAGAAGAAGUAGGAAAGACCGGGUAUGCCCGUUAGCGCUGCAGUCAUUGAUUGAUGACUUUCUAAGAUCAGUUUGCCGUGAGGCACUGAUAAACAAAGGUGGAACCGCGUUGAUAACGUCCUUUAGCUGUAAUGGCUAGAGGACGUUUUUUUAUUUUCCGACCGGAUGCCUUUUUACUAUUGGGAAGCCAUAGACUGCUUGAGGUUUUUUCUGAGAGGAAAAAACAAAUUGAGGUGGAACCACGUGUAGCGCGUCCUCUGG